AAUUUUUUUUUUUCUCAAAUUUUUUUUUUCCUCAAAUUUUUUUUCCUCAAAAUUUUUUUUUUCUCAAAUUUUUUUUCCUCAAAAUUUUUUUUCCUCAAAUUUUUUUUCUCAAAUUUUUUUUUUUCCUCAUUUUUUUUCGUUUCCUUAUUCAAUUUCUUUUUCCUUAUUCGAUUUUUAUUUCCUUUUUCAUAUUCAUUUCCUUUUUCGGUUUCUAUUCCCUGAAUCGGAUUCUAUUUCCUUAUUGGGUUUCUAUUUCCUUAUUCGGUUUCGAUUUCCUUAUUCGGUUUCUAGUUCCUUAUUCGAUUUUCAUUUCCUUAUUCGGUUUCUUUUUCCUUUUUCAAUAUUCAUUCCUUUUUU
RNAcentral lists this long non-coding RNA (357 nucleotides) under Mytilus galloprovincialis (Mediterranean mussel). Lineage: Eukaryota; Metazoa; Mollusca; Bivalvia; Mytilida; Mytilidae. The record is from RNAcentral.